RNAcentral lists this ribosomal RNA (209 nucleotides) under Clostridioides difficile. RNAcentral's name for it is "partial 23S ribosomal RNA". It matches the Rfam family "Bacterial large subunit ribosomal RNA", at positions 2538 to 2746 of the family's 2925-position model. Lineage: Bacteria; Bacillati; Bacillota; Clostridia; Peptostreptococcales; Peptostreptococcaceae. The record is from RNAcentral.
CAUCACAUCCUGGGGCUGUAGUAGGUCCCAAGGGUUGGGCUGUUCGCCCAUUAAAGUGGUACGCGAGCUGGGUGCAGAACGUCGUGGGACAGUUCGGUCCCUAUCCGGCGCAGGCGUAGGAAAGUUGAGAAGACCUGGCCUUAGUACGAGAGGACCGGGAUGGACGUACCUAUGGUGUACCAGUUGUCCUGCCAAGGGCAUGGCUGGGU